GCUCUAGUGGCCUAGUGGUUAGAGCAUCUGCCUCAGAUGCAGGAGGUCAUGUGUUAAAACCCCUGCAGAAUCACAACAAAGACU
Potamilus streckersoni is the source of this 84-nucleotide non-coding RNA. The record is from the annotation of a GenBank genome assembly. NCBI's taxonomy places the organism in Eukaryota, Metazoa, Mollusca, Bivalvia, Unionida, Unionidae.